GAUGAACGCUGGCGGCGUGCUUAACACAUGCAAGUCGAACGAUGAAGCCCAGCUUGCUGGGUGGAUUAGUGGCGAACGGGUGAGUAACAUGUGAGUAACCUGCCCUUAACUCUGGGAUAAGCCUGGGAAACUGGGUCUAAUACCGGAUAGGAGCGUCCACCGCAUGGUGGGUGUUGGAAAGAUUUAUCGGUUUUGGAUGGACUCGCGGCCUAUCAGCUUGUUGGUGAGGUAAUGGCUCACCAAGGCGACGACGGGUAGCCGGCCUGAGAGGGUGACCGGCCACACUGGGACUGAGACACGGCCCAGACUCCUACGGGAGGCAGCAGUGGGGAAUAUUGCACAAUGGGCGCAAGCCUGAUGCAGCGACGCCGCGUGAGGGAUGACGGCCUUCGGGUUGUAAACCUCUUUCAGUAGGGAAGAAGCGAAAGUGACGGUACCUGCAGAAGAAGCACCGGCUAACUACGUG
Molecule: ribosomal RNA, 466 nt
Filed under: uncultured bacterium
Lineage: Bacteria
Description: partial 16S ribosomal RNA
Rfam family: Bacterial small subunit ribosomal RNA
Source: RNAcentral